RNAcentral lists this ribosomal RNA (414 nucleotides) under uncultured microorganism. RNAcentral's name for it is "bacterial SSU rRNA". It matches the Rfam family "Archaeal small subunit ribosomal RNA", at positions 459 to 872 of the family's 1478-position model. The record is from RNAcentral.
CAGCCGCCGCGGUAAUACCGGCGGCCCGAGUGGCGGCCACUAUUAUUGGGCUUAAAGCGUCCGUAGCCGGGUUGGUUAGUCUCCCGGGAAAUCUGGCCGCUUAACGGUCAGAAUUCCGGGAGAUACUGCCAGCCUAGGGACCGGGAGAGGCCGAGGGUAUUCCCGGAGUAGGGGUGAAAUCCUAUAAUCCCGGGAGGACCACCUGUGGCGAAGGCGCCCCGCUGGAACGGGUCCGACGGUGAGGGACGAAGGCCAGGGGAGCAAACCGGAUUAGAUGCCCGGGUAGUCCUGGCGGUAAAGGAUGCGGGCUAGGUGUCGGGUGAGCUGCGGGCUCGCCCGGUGCCGUAGGGAAGCCGUUAAGCCCGCCGCCUGGGGAGUACGGCCGCAAGGCUGAAACUUAAAGGAAUUGGCGGG